This 433-nucleotide ribosomal RNA is filed under the name uncultured bacterium. Its description in RNAcentral is "partial 16S ribosomal RNA". It matches the Rfam family "Bacterial small subunit ribosomal RNA", at positions 29 to 507 of the family's 1533-position model. The record is from RNAcentral.
AACGAACGCUGGCGGCAUGCCUAACACAUGCAAGUCGAACGAGACCUUCGGGUCUAGUGGCGCACGGGUGCGUAACGCGUGGGAACCUGCCCUUAGGUUCGGAAUAACUCCCCGAAAGGGGUGCUAAUACCGGAUAAUGUCUUCGGACCAAAAAUUUAUCGCAUUUGUAUGGGCCCGCGUUGGAUUAGCUAGUUGGUAGGGUAAAAGCCUGCCAAGGCGACGAUCCAUAGCUGGGCUGAGAGGAUGAUCAGCCACACUGGGACUGAGACACGGCCCAGACUCCUACGGGAGGCAGCAGUGGGUAAUAGUGGACAAUGGGCGAAAGCCUGAUCCAGCAAUGCCGCGUGAGUGAUGAAGGCCUUAGGGUUGUAAAGCUCUUUUAACCGGGAUGAUAAUGACAGUACCGGGAGAAUAAGCCCCGGCUAACUCCGUG